CUGGAUAAGGCCUGGCUUUGGGAUCAGCACUUCCUCUGAUUCUCACUUCAAGAUAAAACUGGUCCUCCUGAAGACGAGAGGCAACAUUCGAGCAGGACAGACACAGACACUUGAGAAAAGACAUCACCAGGAUUAAAGUCAGUGGGCAUACAACAAUGGCUGACUUCAUGCCAGGUAAUGCCAACAAGCUGGUCCAGAGUCCAAAGACAGACGUACAGGAUGGGAGCAAAGUUUCAGCUGAGUCUGCAUCAGCAGCAGUGAUCAAAGCAAGACCUGCAGACCUGGGACUGAUUCGAAGUUUGUCAAAGUCAGACUCUGACUUGUUGUCGUCUCCAGUCGGAGAGGAGGACGGAGGUCUGACAAACCGCAGUGGAUCUGUGGCAAACUGCAGUUCUGGCCAACCAUCAGUGGACCGCAUGCCUUCCUAUGCUUCUGAAUGGGAUGAGAUUGAGAAGAUCAUGACGUUGAUUGGGGCUGGCAUUGAAACAACCAAAAACAAACACCACACACCAAGCUCAGAUGGGGCCUGUGGUAAAGCCCUGGACCAGCCGGUUGGAGAGUGGCUGGAGCACGUGGGGCUGCCGCAGUACGAGAGCAAGUUCCUGCUCAAUGGCUUUGAUGACCUACGAUUCAUGGGAAGUAACGUGAUGGAGGACCAAGAUUUAAGAGACAUGGGGAUCACUGACCCAGGACACAGAAAGAAAAUCCUCCAUGCAGCACGCAGCUUUCCCAAGGUCAAACCUCUAGGUUGUGACGGCAGCACAUCUUUAGCCUCUUGGUUGGAUGGCCUUGGCCUGCAUGAGUAUCUCCCCAACUUUCUGUCUAAUGGCUACCGCACCCUGGAGUGUGUAAAGAACUUGUGGGAGCUGGAGAUUGUCAAUGUUAUAAAAGUUGGGCCCUUAGGCCACAGGAAGAGGAUCAUUGCAUCUCUAGCAGAGAGGCCCUACGAAGAAGCUCCCUCUAAAUCCCGUCGGCUUUCCCCAAUCAUGUUUCAUGACCUCCUAUCCCAGACCACCUCACCUCUCAGUCAGCUGGACCCCUACACAAGUCGCUCCAUGGACAUGCUCCUCCCCCUGACCGAAUCGGACAGAAGGCGAAGAGCACUUGACCAAGACUGUAGCAUUUCCCUGCGUUCCUAUAAUGAGAGGCCGCGUUCUGUUGAGCGACACAGUGAACGCCAAAAAGAGUCUCGUUUAAACUUCCGGCCCCAGAGCCAGUCUGCCACGUACGCCACCGUGUCUGCCUGGCAUCACCAGCCUGAGAAGCUCAUCCUGGACUCCUGCAGGUACGAGGCAACAUAUUUAGGAUCAUUGAUAAUCAGGGAUUUACGAGGGAUUGAAUCCACACAAGAUGCCUGUGCAAAAAUAAGGAAAUCGAAGGAUUCCAAAAAGGGCCCAGUUGUCAUACUGUCCAUCACCUACAGAGGUGUGAAGUUCAUUGAUGCUGCCUCAAAGACUAUAGUUGCAGAGCAUGAAAUCAGAAACAUCUCGUGUGCCGCCCAGGACCCGGAUGACCUCUGUACGUUUGCUUACAUCACCAAGGAUUCAAAGAGUGGACACCACUUCUGUCAUGUUUUCAGUACUGUUGAAGUCAUCCAAACCUAUGAGAUUAUCUUAACACUGGGGCAGGCAUUCGAGGUGGCUUAUCAGAUGGCAGUGCAGUCCAGGGCGAGACAGUAUGUGCCUCCAACAUCUAUGGGCUCAGAGUUCAUCGAAACCAAAACCAGCCGCCCAGUGUCUCAGUCGUGGAACAGCAUGAGAAGAUCAGCGGGCGUCCCUCUGCUCGAAUGCCGCUGCUGUCACUGUCACACGUGUACUACCCACCGUCCUUCCUUCCUCCCGUUGCACUCUGUUAGCCCUGGAAUCCAGAUUGACCCCCUGGAGAUGGACGCCGACAUGCAGUCGCUGGGCAGCACCACCUGGCUCUGUGACCAGCGAGACUCCAACAGGCGUCCCGUCAGCACCAAGUAUGAGACCACCAUAUUCUGAGGCAGGAACUUCCCCCCUCCCUCCCCCACACAGCUGCCCCCUCCUCACUGCACCUCCCUUGUACUUUUCGCCUCUACCCUUGCAUCCGGUUCUCUGCUCAUCUCUUUCUCUCACACACACUCAGAGAGAUAUAUAUACAAGUGAGCCCGUGCCUUCUCACUGUGAUGGUAUAGCAUCCCUCAGGGCUGCCUCUUCCUGCACCUUCCUUUGCCCUGCCCAGCAACCCACGCCGACCUCCUACAUGCCAUGACAAACACUCCUGCGGCUCUCCUGAGCUCUCCCAACAUCCCCGGCAGCCUCCCUCGCCUGUUGCUGCUGCAGCCAAUGGCGGAGCCUUGGAACGGAUGAUCCUGGACUGAUCUCAUUUUACAGUGGCCCUGCUCUCUCUCGACCAAACUGCCUCUUCCUCCUCAUCCUCCUCUUCCUGACAACUUGCAUCUGCCUCCAAAUCCCCGAUAGCUCCCAAAGGUUGCAUCUUUAUUCUUCUUCUUCCUCUUUCAAGACAUUCUUUUUGUUUGGUUUUCCUUCGGUUUUCUCCACAGGCUAAACAACCUGUCCUGUCUUACCAGGCAUCUACCACUGUGAGGCACUAUGAGGAGGCUGCUUUGCUAGCAUGGGACACAAGAUGGACAAAUACAUAUAAAUAUAGUGAAAGAAAAACAGCAACAUGCAGCAAACAACCUGUAUUUUUUUACUCAUUUGUACAGUACUCAUAGUAAGCCCACAAAUGGAUUGGUCACAAAUCGAUCACUGAUGUCUGAACUCAAAGCCGACUGAGAACUGAAACCUUCCUACACGAUGUUGCGAUAUCUAUAAUCGACUAAAACUCCCAAGUAAUCCCCUAUCCUGCCAAACUCCAGCACCCAACAGCUGCACGUCUCCAACCAGUUUUUAAAAGAGGGGAAGGAGAAAAAAAACAAAACAUUUUUGGCUUUUCUGCUGUAUUUAAUUGUGACUGGCUGGGAAUAUGUUACAUAGAUGUUGGUACAGGUUUGUUGAGAUGAGUCUGGCCUUGUACUGCCCAGUGCCUGUUAGCAUUAAUGGUAGCGCUGAGAGCCUGCAAAAUCUUCUUCAUUUAAAAAAAGCAAAACUAAAAGCACUGUGUUUGAAAAAAAAAGCACUAUCCCUUUUAAAACUUUGUUUUCCUAAAGUGCAAGUGGAGUAUUAGUGCAUUUUGUGAUACUUUUUUAAAGAUGGGAAGUAACUGAAAAUAUCUCAAUAUGAGGUAAAAGAAUGAAAAGAGAAAGAAAAAAAAACUUAAAUAUUGACAAUAGUCCCAUGUUUCACUUAUUUUUGUAUUCAACACAUGAAGAUUUCUUUUAAGAUAUUGCUCUGAUGUUUUUAAGUGAGGUUGUGUUAAAAAGGAAGAAGGAGUUGAUCUCUUAAAUCAGUAAACAAAUCUUUUGGUGUCUUCAUUUAAAAAUCCAAACGAGCUUCUCCUGAAGAGUGAAGCUAAUCAGAGUUCCCAUUGCUGGAUGAUGAGCAUCUUUAGCUGGCUUUUUAAUGACAUCCUGGACAGACUGUAUUGUGUAUCGUUUAGACCUGGGGACAAUUAAGAGACAACGAUUGAUCUAAUGGUCAAAUUGUUCGGUUUGUGGGAUGAAGCCAAAUGGGUAAAAUAUGUUACAGGUCUUCAAGCCAAAAAUGUUCCUUUCCUCAUAAUCAAAGUUUUCUAUUUUUGAAACCCUAUUUAUGUUAAAUAAAAACUCCCCCAUUACUUUGGUUACAUCCUACUUUCAUCGUAUAAAGACACUUAUUGGAUCAAUGAAAUGAUGAUAAAACAUUUGUGGUGUUAAACUGAAAGUGGGACAAAUAAAAUAAACCCUAAAAUGGCUUGAGACAUUAGCACGAUGUAAAGGAGCUCUGCACUCCUUCCCUGCAGCUACUUUUUAAACGCAGGUGAAACUAACUUGUUUUUUUUAUAUAUAAUGAUUACUGUACUAAAUUAAUUGACAUGUUAUUGUUUUAACAUUGUCUUAUUUUUGGGGGGAAUUAAGCAGCGACUGUGUCUUUUUUUGCAAAAAUGUAAAAACGUACAUAUAUAUUUUUUAUUCAUUUGUUUAAGAAGCCUAUAUAUUAAUCUGUUUAAGCAAAUAUAAAAAAUUAUGAAAAGAGAUCAGGAAAAAAAAUCUGGAUCUUUAUAUCGUUAUUAAAUAAACUACACAUGAACACACUUAUUAUGUGUAAAUAAAACAUACAUCCAGAACUUUUCAUCCUUAUUUAUUUAUUUUUUAAGCCUUCAAAUUUAGAGAAUAGAGGCUCAUUUGCAACUGUUUUUUACUCCAAUACAACAACUGAAAGGGUUGAAAUAGGCUUAUAAAAUUGUGUUUCCACACACAGUAACUACCAGUAAAAAAGUAAUGCAGUGUAUCAAUAUAUAAAAUAGUGUAUGUCUCCCAACAUGAGCAUUUCUUUUUAGCAUUUUAAAAUUUUUCAAAAGCCUUUGCAUAAACUGAUUUAAAUUAAGUUAUCUUUUUUUAAAUACUAGAUUUCUCUUUGGCUUCGGCCCUUUUAGCUUCAGCCUCCAGGACUAACUCAUCAGAUUUUUCUCUUAAUGAAGACACCAAAACAAUAAUGUGCUGCAGGUAAGAUAUGAAACUCUUACAACCUUCUAACAUAGCUCCACUUAAAACAAAAUUGUGAGCCGUCUCUUUAACAUGAGUGUAACAUGAGCCCCCUGCACAGUUUGGUGCACAGUUCCCUUUAUAGCAUAGCUUAUUAUACAUGUAUAUUAAAUAGUUGGGUUUUUAUUUACCACCACUUCUAAAUUUGAAACAGAUCACUUAAAGUUUGUCACAUCACCUGAAAGAGCCAAAUCUCGUCUUGUUUUGGUGUCCGGUUCAUGCGGUAGAUCUGUAAAGCUGAAACCAUGAUUAUUCAGACAAAGUAUUUUCCUCCUGCACUGUGAUUAAAAAAAAGAUGCUGAUUGUGAAAUUGAGAUAUUGGGUUCUUAAUCCCCGCCCCCACCGCGUGCACUGCCAGCCGUGUGUCCUGUAUGCUUUGUUUCUGUCUGUCCACGUGGAUUUGGACUGCUGCAUCACUGGCCGCUGUCCUUGUUUCUCUGUGUGCCGCAGGAGAAGUGAGGGACUGAGCUCCUCUCCAAAGACAGUGUGUCUGGAGACUCUUUAGAUGUAGCUGCUGUGUGUGCGGAGCCGUGGUUAUGUCAUUGCCACUUUGUUCCGACUUUUAUCUGUUAGCUUCCACUGAUGAUGCAUGUUUGGCAGUGUCUUUGUGUUUUGUCCCCUCUGAUGCACUUGGCCUGAGCAGUCUCUGUGUGUACUGUACUGUAGCAGCGUCUCGUCUCUCGCUCUUUCAUCUGCCAUAUGCCUUUUAUUUUCCCUCUCUCAGUUUACAUCCUAAUUCAUACCCAUCCAUCCGUUUCCACCGUUCUCACAAUUUCUGUCACACUCGUCCCCCCCAUACCACCUCCACCACCACCAUUUUGUAUGUCACCAAGACAACCUGCUCUCGUAUGGCUGCACACUAUUAAGAAAAAAGAAAAAAAAGCAUUACACUUUAAUGAAGAGCAGCUAUUUAAAGCAAGUUUUUGGUAGCAUGAUGUGGCUGUGCAUGUACCGGUCCUCUUUUUUAACAUUCGUAUUCUCCCUGUGUAGCUCACCCCAACGUUCAAGUUUCCGGACACCAAGCUGUGAGUUGAAGGGGAGCAGCCGAUGCGAGUGUGUUUGCGAGGGUUGAAUUAGUGCACAUAGCAGAGGGAAAACCAUAAAAAAGAGGGAGAAAGGGCCAAGCGGCGUUAUUCUGACAUUUAUAUCUCACUCUGUACACCUUCUGCUCCUGCACUGCCCCCAAGAUGAAUCCCUAACUCACAGCCAAAAGGUAACUUGUGGUCACACAUCACUGGCUAAACAGGACCUGUAUAUCAAUCCUGUUUGGAGAGAGGUCAGACAGUAAGGUCAGGUCUAAUUCCUGGCCUCCAUCUAACUGAUCUUGUCCUGUAGGUACUGUUAUGUUUAGAGCUCUGUAGCCCGUUAGUAUUACCAUUAAUGAGAAUUUCUACUGAUUAAGGUGAAGAAAAUGAAUGGGAUUUGAUAAUGAGUGACAAAAUGUAGAGAAAAAAAAUAAACUGUUCCAGCAUACAAUGCUUUGCCCAUAUUUGUGGUCAGAGUAUAGCUUGUUGUUGAAAAUGUGAUACUGUUUCGAAUUUCAAAGCAAUAUUAUAUUCAUGAUAUUAAAUAAUACAAAGACUAAAGAAACCCUCUCAAGUUGGUUGUCAGCAUUGAUUUUCUUUACAUGGCUGAGCAGUUAAAAACAGACACAUUACACCAGCUGUUCAAAAUCAAAAGUGACAUUACAAGAUGGUAAUUAUUUUACAAUUGAGCUUUCAUUGUUUUCCCUGCUGAACAAGAUUAGUGGAUGGUGCAACUUCUAAUCUAAACAAACGAUUAGCCCCGUUUGUGCCUCUCAUGUACUUUAUUAUUUUCAAGUUGCGGAACUGAGUUCCUGCGGAUCUUUGAAAAGAGAAAAAAAAA
This is an RNA transcript of Cyprinodon tularosa, 6478 nucleotides long. It is a transcript of the gene named ankyrin repeat and sterile alpha motif domain containing 1Ab, with no coding region annotated. NCBI's taxonomy places the organism in Eukaryota, Metazoa, Chordata, Actinopteri, Cyprinodontiformes, Cyprinodontidae. The transcript has 16 exons. The record is from RefSeq and is a predicted model, not a curated record.